Hylaeus anthracinus is the source of this 2121-nucleotide long non-coding RNA. RefSeq lists it as uncharacterized. Lineage: Eukaryota; Metazoa; Arthropoda; Insecta; Hymenoptera; Colletidae. The record is from RefSeq and is a predicted model, not a curated record. The transcript has 3 exons.
UCGCACUUGCACACCAGUAACGUAUCAAAUUUGGAAACAAUCAGGACACUAGUAUAAAUUGUAUUUCGCUCAAAUUAUUUUUUCAUUCAAUUAUCUUACUUACAGCAGAUACGUUAGCUACAAUCUACGUAAAAAAUUUAAAACAAUGUUCAAGAUAAUAUAAUAUUUAAAUAUACUAUCGAUAAGGUUGAUUUAAAACUUUUAUUAAUAGCACAGACGUUCUCGUAAUGUACAUGAGUACGGACCUGGCAUCAUGACGAUCGUUUUACUUCGUGUUUCUUCGGUGCACAGCGCUAAUUCUAAAUACAUAGGUAUGCGUCGAUGACGUAUCAUCGUUAAAAAGUCCAAUGAUCAAUGUUGCCACCGAUUUUAAACAAUUCCUCUAGUUUAUUCAUGCUCUACUCAGCUCUCCCAUUUCUUCCUAGUAACGAGUGUACCGUUUAAAUUGUACGUCUAAUCGAAAUAUGCCAUUUAUAGAUAGUCUGUUCCACUGCAUUCUACUGUGCAUGUACACUGUACAGUGGCGUGUAAAAGUUUCUGUCGUUUGUUUUUUUACUUCUUUGAAGGAGAAGUGCGCGCGGCUAUUUACAAGUUUAUGAUAUAAGUUAUAUUUUGAAAAUGGGUUAUCUAAUGAACGAAUGCUUGUGGGGAAAAAUCUUAUGGGGUGUGUUAUAUUUAAUACAUAGCGCCUUUAGGCUUCGAGUCUGUACAGGCACGUCAGACGUGUCCGAAUUUCCUUUGGUUAGCUGGAAAAUCGAGCCAACAUAUUUCAAAUCCAUUCAGAUCAAUUCAGAUCGUUUUAAAAGUUGGUGAAAUUUCUGUCGUGGUUGAAAUAUAUACAUUAAUUUAAUAAAUAUAUGUAUCACAGUCUAGAGGAUUUUAUUAUGACAAGUUUAGCGGCAUGGUCUCGCAUAGAAAUAGAAACAAGUGUAGAGGAAAUUGGAGAUAAAUAAAUCAUACAAUCUAUUUUUAUAAAAUAGAAUUUCAUGGCCCCUCUUCAGUUUAUUACAAUUUAUAGCUAGCAUAUUUUGGCUGAAGUAAUUUCAAUUAUUCAGUUAAAAUGACGGAGGAAUCAAUGCAACAAGAGGUGACUAAGCAUAGCUUUCGCCAGAAAGUAUAGAAUUACUUGGCAUUUGAAGCUAAGAAGGAAAUAUUGAUUACAAUUCCUUCAUGUUGCACCAGUUAUUGGUGUCACAAGAAAGAAAUUCAGAAUCUGGUAGAAAAUUGAUGGUGUAAUGGAAGUUGGUCAACCACUCGGAGUGGAGUCUAAUGUAAAGGUAUCCAUUGCUUGUUCUUAUAAUAACAAUGUCUUAUUAUUCGUUAUGUUUACCUUCAUUAUUUUAUACAUUCGUCCGAUUUUCUUUCAGAUAGAUCUCAUAGUGUUGACUGAUGAUAGUUUAGUCAAUCGAUAAAUAAUAUUUGUGACACAAAAGAAUAAGUCAACAUCCGGUAUAUAUGUUAUUUUUCUUGAGGAAUAUUUUCACACUAGGUGUAUCUGGGACGAACCGGAACGAAACGAAACGAGACGAUGAAUAAUUUAUAGCAAAUAUUCAACCGGUAGAGAUAGUUUUGUAUACGCGCAUCUGAAAAAUAUUCAGUCAUUUUCCUCGAAAAUAAAAUCCAUCGUAUAAACUAUUUUAUAUUCUAUAUUUUCGAUCGUCCUCUCGCAAAUCAUUACCAUAUUAAUUUUCCGGAUACAAAUUUGGAUUGUUAAUAGAUAGGGGAUGAAUUAUGUAAGAGUAUAUAUAAUAUACUGUGUAAUCAGUAGGAAUAGCUGUUCGAUGCAUGCGACAGAAUAUUUAAAUACAUAUUUAGCUUAUUAGCGUGUAGCGGAUGAUUUACGAAACUAAUCGUAAGCUUAAUGCAGGAAUGUGCCGCGAGGUAAUUAUUUCGCUCCAAAGUUUGCAAUUUUAAAAAAUCUCGAAAUAAAAAGUUCGUAAACCGAUAUAUUAGGGGCGAAGUACGAAAGUGGAAAAAAUUUGUUGUCAGUUCUAUAAAUUAAAUAAAUUAAAUUAAAUUAACCAGAUCAAAUUAAUUACGCGACGAUUCGCGAGGCACCGAAGCUUCUAAAUUAAACAUACGCAAUUUAACGAUAAUCAACUUUCCGUUAGCCUUCUAUUU